Molecule: ribosomal RNA, 253 nt
Filed under: uncultured bacterium
Lineage: Bacteria
Description: partial 16S ribosomal RNA
Rfam family: Bacterial small subunit ribosomal RNA
Source: RNAcentral
UACGGAGGGAGCUAGCGUUAUUCGGAAUUACUGGGCGUAAAGGGUGCGUAGGCGGCGCGGUAAGUCGGGUGUGAAAUCUCGGAGCUUAACUCCGAAACUGCAUUCGAUACUGCCGUGCUUGAGGACUGGAGAGGAGACUGGAAUUUACGGUGUAGCGGUGAAAUGCGUAGAUAUCGUAAGGAAGACCAGUGGCGAAGGCGGGUCUCUGGACAGUUCCUGACGCUGAGGCACGAAGGCCAGGGGAGCAAACGGG